This 216-nucleotide ribosomal RNA is filed under the name Glomeromycotina sp. RNAcentral's name for it is "partial small subunit ribosomal RNA". The stretch from base 44 to 216 matches the Rfam family "Eukaryotic small subunit ribosomal RNA", at positions 690 to 864 of the family's 1831-position model. Lineage: Eukaryota; Fungi; Glomeromycota. The record is from RNAcentral.
GGGUCAGUAGGUUGGUCGUGCCACCGGUACGUACUGGUCUCGCUGAUUCCUCCUUCCUGAAGAACCGUAAUGCCAUUAAUUUGGUGUUGCGGGGAAACAGGACUGUUACUUUGACAAAAUUAGAGUGUUUAAAGCAAGCUAACGCUUGAAUACAUUAGCAUGGAAUAAUGAAAUAGGACGAUCGAUCCUAUUUUGUUGGUUUCUAGGAUUGACGUA